GGCCUAACACAUGCAAGUCGUACGAGAAGGUUCCUUCGGGAACUGGAGAGUGGCGCACGGGUGAGUAACGCGUGGGGACCUACCUUUUAGUGGGGGAUAACGGUUGGAAACGACCGCUAAUACCGCAUACGCCCYUUGGGGGAAAGAUUUAUCGCUAAAAGAUGGACCCGCGUUGGAUUAGAUAGUUGGUGAGGUAACGGCUCACCAAGUCUUCGAUCCAUAGCUGGUUUGAGAGGAUGAUCAGCCACACUGGGACUGAGACACGGCCCAGACUCCUACGGGAGGCAGCAGUGGGGAAUAUUGGACAAUGGGCGCAAGCCUGAUCCAGCCAUGCCGCGUGAGUGAAGAAGGCCUUCGGGUUGUAAAGCUCUUUCAGAUGCGAAGAUGAUGACGGUAACAUCAGAAGAAGCCCCG
Molecule: ribosomal RNA, 414 nt
Filed under: alpha proteobacterium BAL250
Lineage: Bacteria; Pseudomonadati; Pseudomonadota; Alphaproteobacteria
Description: bacterial SSU rRNA
Rfam family: Bacterial small subunit ribosomal RNA
Source: RNAcentral